AGUCAAUAGACCCUGGUAGUCCACGCCGUAAACGAUGAGUACUAGGUGUAGGAGGUAUCGACUCCUUCUGUGCCGCAGUUAAACACAAUAAGUACUCCGCCUGGGAAGUACGGUCGCAAGAUUAAAACUCAAAGGAAUUGACGGGGGCCCGCACAAGCAGCGGAGCAUGUGGUUUAAUUCGAAGCAACGCGAAGAACCUUACCUAGACUUGACAUCUCCUGAAUAGCGCAGAGAUGCGUGAAGCCCUUCGGGGCAGGAAGACAGGUGGUGCAUGGUUGUCGUCAGCUCGUGUCGUGAGAUGUUGGGUUAAGUCCCGCAACGAGCGCAACCCUAUUAUUAGUUGCUACCAUUAAGUUGAGCACUCUAAUGAGACUGCCCGGGUUAACCGGAGGAAGGCGGGGAUGACGUCAAAUCAUCAUGCCCCUUAUGUCUAGGGCUACACACGUGCUACAAUGGUGAGAACAACGAGAUGCAAUACCGCGAGGUGGAGCAAAACUUGAAAACUCAUCUCAGUUCGGAUUGUAGG
RNAcentral lists this ribosomal RNA (526 nucleotides) under uncultured bacterium. RNAcentral describes it as "bacterial SSU rRNA". It matches the Rfam family "Bacterial small subunit ribosomal RNA", at positions 775 to 1304 of the family's 1533-position model. The record is from RNAcentral.